AUGAAGUCAGAUCUAGGUGAUUUCUUGGAACAACUGAACCUGGAUGAGGAAGAAUUCGAUGACUUGGUUAUCGAUGAGGAUGAUCCUGAGAUCAACGAAAGUGUUAGAUGGCUUGCCCUAGCUAGGGUUCAUACGGACAAGUCCUUCAGCCAAACAGCUUUCUACAGGGAGAUGCGCGCGGCGUGGAACACAGCCCAGCCGGUUAGGUUCAGUCCGGUUGGACCGAAUCUGUUUGUCGUGCAAGCUUCAUGCCUAGGGGAUUGGGAGCGCAUGCUCGAUCAAGGUCCGUGGUUGUUCAGGUAUAUGCUCGUGUUGAUGUGUCCAUAUGAUGGUUUCACCAAAGCCGAGGAGGUACCAAUGUUGUUCAUGCCAAUCUGGCUACAAAUCCAUAAACUACCAGAUGGGUUCUGCAAGCAGAAUAUUGUGCAACAUCUGCUCAAGAACUCGGGUAAGAUCUUGGAGAUGAGACUCAAUGGGAAUACCAGAGGAGAUUAUGUCAGAGUUAGGAUCCGCCAUGACGUUCGCCAGCCUCUUACUAAAUUUGUCAGGAUUGUUCGAGGCCAAGAACGGCAGGUGUUCCUGGUUCGAUAUGAGAAACUGGCUUGA
This 606-nucleotide ribosomal RNA is filed under the name Triticum aestivum (bread wheat). RNAcentral's name for it is "partial small subunit ribosomal RNA". The record is from RNAcentral. Lineage: Eukaryota; Viridiplantae; Streptophyta; Magnoliopsida; Poales; Poaceae.